Molecule: ribosomal RNA, 492 nt
Filed under: uncultured bacterium
Lineage: Bacteria
Description: partial 16S ribosomal RNA
Rfam family: Bacterial small subunit ribosomal RNA
Source: RNAcentral
AGUGAACGCUGGCGGUAGGCCUAACACAUGCAAGUCGAACGGCAGCACAGUAAGAGCUUGCUCUUACGGGUGGCGAGUGGCGGACGGGUGAGGAAUACAUCGGAAUCUACUUUUUCGUGGGGGAUAACGUAGGGAAACUUACGCUAAUACCGCAUACGACCUACGGGUGAAAGCAGGGGAUCUUCGGACCUUGCGCGAUUGAAUGACCCGAUGUCGGAUUAGCUAGUUGUCGGGGUAAAGGCCCACCAAGGCGACGAUCCGUAGCUGGUCUGAGAGGAUGAUCAGCCACACUGGAACGGAGACACGGUCCAGAAUCCUACAGGAGGCAGCAGUGGGGAAUAUUGGACAAUGGGCGCAAGCCUGAUCCAGCCAUACCGCGUGGGUGAAGAAGGCCUUCGGGUUGUAAAGCCCUUUUGUUGGGAAAGAAAAGCAGCAGGUUAAUACCCCGCUGUUCUGACGUUACCCAAAGAAUAAGCACCGGCUAACUUCGUG